RNAcentral lists this ribosomal RNA (263 nucleotides) under uncultured Staphylococcus sp. RNAcentral describes it as "partial 16S ribosomal RNA". It matches the Rfam family "Bacterial small subunit ribosomal RNA", at positions 98 to 354 of the family's 1533-position model. Lineage: Bacteria; Bacillati; Bacillota; Bacilli; Caryophanales; Staphylococcaceae. The record is from RNAcentral.
CGGGACGGGUGAGUAACACGUGGAUAACCUACCUAUAAGACUGGGAUAACUUCGGGAAACCGGAGCUAAUACCGGAUAAUAUAUUGAACCGCAUGGUUCAAUAGUGAAAGACGGUUUUGCUGUCACUUAUAGAUGGAUCCGCGCUGCAUUAGCUAGUUGGUAAGGUAACGGCUUACCAAGGCAACGAUGCGUAGCCGACCUGAGAGGGUGAUCGGCCACACUGGAACUGAGACACGGUCCAGACUCCUACGGGAGGCAGCAGA